This is a small nucleolar RNA of Vicia villosa (hairy vetch), 107 nucleotides long. NCBI's taxonomy places the organism in Eukaryota, Viridiplantae, Streptophyta, Magnoliopsida, Fabales, Fabaceae. The record is from RefSeq and is a predicted model, not a curated record.
AGGCCAUGGUGUGGACAGACUCUUAAAAUGUCUUUAUAUCUCUCCCAGGCUUCAAAUAGUGAUUCUCCUUGGUUUUGAGUGAAUCUAGUGAUCAGGUUUCUAAGAAC